GGAAACCCUGACGCAGCGACGCCGCGUGCGGGAAGAAGGCCUUCGGGUCGUAAACCGCUGUCAGGAGGGAAGAAACUGUUGGAGUCGAAUAGGCUCUUUCACUGACGGUACCUCCAGAGGAAGCACCGGCUAACUCCGUGCCAGCAGCCGCGGUAAUACGGAGGGUGCGAGCGUUAAUCGGAAUCACUGGGCGUAAAGCGUACGUAGGUGGCAAAGUCAGUCAGGCGUGAAAGCCCUCGGCUCAACCGAGGAAUUGCGUUUGAUACUACUUUGCUAGAGUCUCGGAGAGGUUGGCGGAAUUCCAGGUGUAGGAGUGAAAUCCGUAGAUAUCUGGAGGAACACCAGUGGCGAAGGCGGCCAACUGGACGAGUACUGACACUGAGGUACGAAAGCGUGGGUAGCAAACAGGAUUAGAUACCCUGGUAGUCC
This 429-nucleotide ribosomal RNA is filed under the name uncultured bacterium. RNAcentral's name for it is "bacterial SSU rRNA". It matches the Rfam family "Bacterial small subunit ribosomal RNA", at positions 376 to 796 of the family's 1533-position model. The record is from RNAcentral.